This 484-nucleotide ribosomal RNA is filed under the name uncultured bacterium. RNAcentral describes it as "partial 16S ribosomal RNA". It matches the Rfam family "Bacterial small subunit ribosomal RNA", at positions 30 to 507 of the family's 1533-position model. The record is from RNAcentral.
AUUGAACGCUGGCGGCAGGCCUAACACAUGCAAGUCGAGCGGAUGAAGGGAGCUUGCUCCUGGAUUCAGCGGCGGACGGGUGAGUAAUGCCUAGGAAUCUGCCUGGUAGUGGGGGAUAACGUCCGGAAACGGGCGCUAAUACCGCAUACGUCCUGAGGGAGAAAGUGGGGGAUCUUCGGACCUCACGCUAUCAGAUGAGCCUAGGUCGGAUUAGCUAGUUGGUGGGGUAAAGGCCUACCAAGGCGACGAUCCGUAACUGGUCUGAGAGGAUGAUCAGUCACACUGGAACCGAGACACGGUCCAGACUCCUACGGGAGGCAGCAGUGGGGAAUAUUGGACAAUGGGCGAAAGCCUGAUCCAGCCAUGCCGCGUGUGUGAAGAAGGUCUUCGGAUUGUAAAGCACUUUAAGUUGGGAGGAAGGGCAGUAAGUUAAUACCUUGCUGUUUUGACGUUACCAACAGAAUAAGCACCGGCUAACUUCGUG